This 684-nucleotide ribosomal RNA is filed under the name uncultured archaeon. Its description in RNAcentral is "bacterial SSU rRNA". It matches the Rfam family "Archaeal small subunit ribosomal RNA", at positions 84 to 751 of the family's 1478-position model. The record is from RNAcentral.
UACGGCUCAGUAACACGUGGCUAACCCACCCUCGGGACGGAGACAACCCCGGGAAACUGGGAUUAAUACCCGAUAGGCGAAGACUCCUGGAACGGGUCUUCACCCAAAAGGUGUUAGGGUCAUGCUCCUUAACAUCGCCCGAGGACGGGGCCGCGGCCGAUCAGGUAGUUGGCGAGGCAACGGCUCACCAAGCCUAUAACCGGUACGGGCCGUGGGAGCGGGAGCCCGGAGAUGGGUACUGAGACAAGGGCCCAGGCCCUACGGGGCGCAGCAGUUGCGAAAACUUGUCAAUGCACGAAAGUGUGAACGGGCUANCCCCGAGUGCCGUCCGCUGAGGAUGGCUUUUCUCUGCUGUAAGAAGGCGGAGGAAUAAGGAGAGGGCAAGUCUGGUGUCAGCCGCCGCGGUAAUACCAGCUCUCCGAGUGGUAGGGAUGAUUAUUGGGCCUAAAGCGUUCGUAGCCGGCCUUCCAAGUCUUUCGUUAAAUCCAGCGAUUCAAUCGUUGGACUGCGGGAGAUACUGUUAGGCUAGGGGACNGGAGAAGCCGACGGUANNCCCGGGGUAGGGGUAAAAUCCUAUAAUCCCGGGAAGACCACCAGUGGCGUAGGCGGUCGGCUAGCACGCGCUCGACGGUGAGGGACGAANGCUGGGGGAGCNNCCGGAUUAGAUACCCNNGUAGNNCCAGC